AAGGAAUCAACGGAGAACGAACGUCAGCCUCUCUGCUCGUCUGAGGACACCACUCAGCUUUUCGGGUCAGCUGAGGACGCCGCUCAGUCACCCAGGUUGGCUGAAGACGUUGCUCCAUGUCCUGACAUACCCAAGUGCUCCCCUCUGUUCGCCAACCCCGCGCACAAUGCCACUGUGCUUGCUGGCUCUGCUGAGGAAGGCACUCCACUUUUCUGCCCGGCGGAGGACGUUGCUCUGCCUUCCUGCUCGGCUGAGUGCUGAUUUCACUUGUACCAGUGACACCUGCUCAAGGGAUUCCUAAAGCUGUGGUGUCCAUAAAACCUUAUAAACAUGUGUUCACUUGUGAGAAAGUUACUCUCAGAUGUGACGUACAGGGAGGAGGAAGCUCUGAGGGGACUUACAGUUGGGAGAAGAAUAAAACCAAGCUUUAUAAAAGUGGAGAUGGAUUCAGUGCAGAAAGCACAAUGCAGGAGGUCAGUAUCAGUUGUGUUAUACAAUCUGACAGUGGUGACUACACCUGCAGAGGACAGAGGAGUGCCUCUCGGAGCUCAGAGAUCAGUGAUGCUGUGACACUGACUGUAUCAGGAAACACCACCAGAGUCUCACCACAGCAGCUAAAGACAUUUCAGUUAUUCACAACCCUGACUUCCAUUGGUGAAAGUACAAACACCAUCCAGUCAUUUUCUUUUAGCAGAUCAAAUGAUCAUGAGAGGUUGUCACUGAGCAGCAGAUGACAGCAGGACAAAGAAGAUCAGCUACAGAUUCCAACAAUACAGACUUGUUUACACUCAUUAGUCAUGCUGAAGUACACACACACUCACUCUAAUGAAGACACAAAGAGAACAUUUAGACCCUGUUUACACUGGUGUGUUUUCGUUUUAAAAUGAAAACCAUGCUCGUCCAUUUUCAUUUUAAUGUUUUUUUCUUUAUAAAUAUGGAUAAUUGAGGCUAGCAAGUACGCUAGUGUGUACUUAAUCAAACUUGAUACAAAUUCAAACAAUUCACUUUAUUUGUAACAUUAAUACACUGGCGCACUGCAGUGAAAACAUAAACAAUACAUCAUGGUGAAAACAGGUGCAUAGGUCACAUAAGCAGUCAUACACUCGUUAUGAAAGAAAACAAUAAGAGAUAUUGUUUCUUUUUAAUGUAGGCUGUCCUUCUACAUUUUUUAUUUGAACGUAAU
Long non-coding RNA from Ictalurus punctatus (channel catfish), 1183 nucleotides. The record is from Ensembl. NCBI's taxonomy places the organism in Eukaryota, Metazoa, Chordata, Actinopteri, Siluriformes, Ictaluridae.